This is a non-coding RNA of Caerostris darwini, 104 nucleotides long. Lineage: Eukaryota; Metazoa; Arthropoda; Arachnida; Araneae; Araneidae. The record is from the annotation of a GenBank genome assembly.
UUUCAGAAGGAAGACACGAAAAUUCGUUAGAUCACCGAAGUCAAGCGUCAUUGGGCGCUGUCAGUACUUGGGUGGGUGACCACCUGGGAACACCGCGUGCCGUU